Molecule: microRNA precursor, 91 nt
Filed under: Canis lupus familiaris (dog)
Lineage: Eukaryota; Metazoa; Chordata; Mammalia; Carnivora; Canidae
Also listed under: 1 other name
Description: mir-8799 microRNA precursor family
Rfam family: mir-8799 microRNA precursor family
Source: Rfam by way of RNAcentral
CGGGGAAGGCCGGAUCCUGGGCUGUGUCCCGGCGCCCUGUGCUCCGGGGCCUGCGCUGUUGGAUUCGCGCUCCCGGGCCGUGCAGCCCCCU